This 310-nucleotide ribosomal RNA is filed under the name Bryconalestes longipinnis (long-fin tetra). Its description in RNAcentral is "Brycinus longipinnis (long-fin tetra) partial 12S ribosomal RNA". It matches the Rfam family "Bacterial small subunit ribosomal RNA", at positions 868 to 1344 of the family's 1533-position model. The record is from RNAcentral. Lineage: Eukaryota; Metazoa; Chordata; Actinopteri; Characiformes; Alestidae.
UCCGCCAGGGUACUACGAGCGCUAGCUUAAAACCCAAAGGACUUGACGGUGUCUCAACCCCGCCUAGAGGAGCCUGUUCUAGAACCGAUAACCCUCGUUUAACCUCACCAUCCCUUGUCUCUACCGCCUAUAUACCGCCGUCGAAAGCUUACCCUGUGAAGGCCCUACAGUAAGCAAAAUGGGUAUAACCCAGAACGUCAGGUCGAGGUGUAGCUUAUGAGAUGGGAAGAAAUGGGCUACAUUUUCUGUAACAGAACAUUACGAAUUUUACCAUGAAAUUGGUAUUUGAAGGUGGAUUUAGUAGUAAAAC